UACGUAGGGUGCAAGCGUUAAUCGGAAUUACUGGGCGUAAAGCGUGCGCAGGCGGUUUUGUAAGUCUGACGUGAAAUCCCCGGGCUCAACCUGGGAAUUGCGUUGGAGACUGCAAGGCUAGAAUCUGGCAGAGGGGGGUAGAAUUCCACGUGUAGCAGUGAAAUGCGUAGAGAUGUGGAGGAAUACCGAUGGCGAAGGCAGCCCCCUGGGCCAAUACUGACGCUCAUGCACGAAAGCGUGGGGAGCAAACAGG
This 253-nucleotide ribosomal RNA is filed under the name uncultured bacterium. RNAcentral describes it as "partial 16S ribosomal RNA". It matches the Rfam family "Bacterial small subunit ribosomal RNA", at positions 524 to 776 of the family's 1533-position model. The record is from RNAcentral.